GAGCCCGGAGUGAGGGGAAUGAAGGGAAAGGGAGCCCGGGCUGAGGGGAAAGGGAGCCCGGGCUGAGGGGAAAGGGAGCCCGGAGUGAGGGGAAAGGGAGCCCGGAGUGAAGGGAAAAGGAGCCCGGAGUGAAGGGAAAAGGAGCCCGGGCUGAGGGGACAGAGAGCCCGGGGUGAGGGGAUGAAGGGAAAGAAAGCCCGGGGUGAGGGGAUGAGAGGAAAGAGAGCCCGGGCUGAGGGGAUAAGGGGAAAGGGAGCUCGGGAUGAGCAGAAAGAGAGCUUGAGGUGAGGGGAUGAGAAGAAGGGGAGCCCAGAGUGAGGGGAUGAAGGGAAAGGAAGCCCGAGCUGAGGGGAAAAGGAGCCCGGGCUCAGUGGGAAGACAGCCCGGGCUGACGGGAUGAAGGGAAGGAAAGCCCGGGGUGAGGAGAAGGAAGCUGAGGGGAUGAGGGGAAAGGGAACCAGGGCUGUGAGAGGAUGAAGGGAAAGAGAGUCCAGGCUGAGGGGAUGAGGGAAAAAGGGAGCCCGGGCUGAGGGGAAAGAAAGUCCGGGGUGAGGGGAUGUGAGAGGACAGAGAGCCCAGAGUGAGGGGAAAGAGAGCCCGGGCUGAGGGGAAGGAAACUGAGGAAAUGAGGGGAAAGGGAGCCCGGGGAAAGGGGGAACAGAGCCUGGGAUGGGAUGAAAGAGCCCGGGGAGAAGGGUAAGGGGUGGUCAGGAUGAGGGGAAAAGGAGCCCGGGGUGAGGGAUAAAGGGGUACCUGGGAUGAAGGAAAGAGUGGGAUGGGGCUGAGGGGAAAGGGCGUGUGAGGAUGUGGGGCCGGGGGUGAGGUGCUGAGGGGAAGAGAAGUGUCUGGAGCUGAGGAGAUAGAGGUAGCAGGGGUGAGGGAAAAGGGAUGUGAGUAAGGGGGUGUUUGGGAUGAGAGGGUGGGGUGCCCCUGCUGAGGGGAAUCAUGGAGUGGUUUGGGCUGGAAGGGACCCUAAAUCCCACCCAGUGCCACCCCAGCCAUGGCAGGGACACCUUCCCCUGUGCCAGGCUGCUCCAGCCCCAGUGUCCAGCCUGGCCUUGGGCACUGCCAGGGAUCCAGGGGCAGCCCCAGCUGCUCUGGGCACCCUGUGCCAGCCCUGCCCACCCUGUCAGGGAACAAUUCCCAUUCCCAAGAUCCCAUCUCCACCUACAACCUCGGUUUGAAGCCAUUCCCCCUUGUUCUGCCACUGUCUGCCCUGGUACAAAGUCUCUCUUUAGACCCUUUAGGUACUGGAGGGUGCUCUCAGGUCUCCCCACAGCCUUCAUCUCUCCCCGCUGAGCAGUUCCAGUGAAGGUGGUUGUGUCCAGGACACCAGGGACUGGAUGUUCCCUCCACUCCUGUCCCAGGACUCCUGAGAUCACCUCACGGCCUGGCACCAGCCACUGCUAGGUUUGAUGCAUCCAGGGUGCUCACAUUCCCAUGCCAGAGGCAGGGGAAGCACUGGCACUUCCACCAUGGAUGCUUGGAUUCCCACCUCUGUGGCCACGUAUUCCUGCAGGAGUCAACAGCUCGAGAGCCCACAGAGAGCUCCUUCUCUUACCUCCUCCUCACACGGCUGGUAAGGAUACUGCUGCCCGUGAAAACACAAGCUCUGCUGAGGAAGAGCAGAGCAAUCGCUUCGGAGCUGUCAGGAGGGUCACGGUUUUACUUUUGCCAUGGAUACAGUGUUAUUGCUGCUGAAGGCUCGGCCUCUUUGGGGAUGCUCAGUGCCUGGGCUGGCCAGCCCUUGGUGAGGCAGAGGUUCUACUGCAAUGUAGCAGAGGGUAUAAACUGUAAAUGGUUUUCAGGAAAGAAUGCCAGGCUUGUAUUUGGCCAUUGUGUGUGUGGUUUCAACGCAGCAGCAAUACUUUUCUGUAGCUCCUUCUUACAACCUUUCCUCUUGGUAGUUACUGUUCCAGAGAGGGCUUAUCAUGUUUCUCAGAAACAUGCAUGAGUUUACAUCGUGAACACUUGUUCAUUUAAACAUUGUUAAAGAUCCAGCUUUAACCUAUAACAGCCAGGAAAAUUUGAAUUUUAACCGAGUUUCUCAGUGCAGUAGGGGCUCUCUGCCCACAUGGUCUGUUGCUGUCACUGCACUGCUGUAGCACUAUCUCUGUUUCUAUGCACACACUCUUUUUAUCAAGCAACACCAUGGCUGUAUCACCUCACUUGUUACAUUUCAGAAGGUACUGGCUCUGAAAAUCAGCAUGUUGUGCUGUUCCCUACAUUUAUUUUCAUUCUGUUGCAUAAAAAAAUAAUUAUAUAUAUGUAUAUGAAUACUCUCCUUCUCUGGCUUCUGUGAAGGGAAAACCCAGACUGCCAUGGCAGUGAGAUACCUUGGCCUUGCUCUCUGAAGGGAGUCUAUAAAAGGUUUGCACCGAGUGUUUUCCCCAUCCUCAACUGCUCAAUCCAGAUGACAAAACCUCAGAUUAUCAGUUUCUCACACUGUGGAUCCUAGAUACCAGAAGAAAUGGUCUGUAAAGAGAACUCAACCUUUUCCUAUUACAAAAAACCCUUACUUUAUAUUUUGCCUGCCUAGGCCAGUAAUGUGUAAAUUUGUUUUCAGGUUUACCUUGUCACGCUGGGACAUUCUCUAAGAUAAUGCUGUUUGUGGUUCUGUUAACACAGUCCCAGUGAUCAGGUGCCUGGCCUGGUAUAGAUCUCUUGUUUGCGCUGAGAUGAGGAGCUGCAGAGCUGCUGGAAUCACAGGGGGGAAAAGUGAAAUCGAAAUCUGCUCACGUGAAAAGCCUGCAGCGUGGGGGUGAGGGGAAAGAGGAGCAGCUGGAGCAAGAAAAGCUGCUGCUCCAAAGUCACACCUCUGAUGUGCACGUAGCUCUUGGCCUUGGAUUCAUCCAGGAGGUGAUCUCUGGGGAGCAGGGACACAAAUCAGCACUGCCCAUGGCAGACACACCUGGCAGUGCAGCCAGGGAACUCACUCUAAAAUGAGCUUUCCCAAACGACUGAUUCUCUGCUUUCACAAGCUGCAUUUACUCUGCCCUCCAGCUACAGGAGAUAGGAGCUAAAGGAGCGUAAUGGACUGCAAAGGAACCACUGAAACUGACUGUUGUAGUUCCUUACAGUCUCCAUUGGGCUAAAGCAGUGUUUUACAGCUCAGGUAACAUCUGCCAGGUCAGUACUGUUCUCCUUUCACUGCUGGGAAAGAGAAGUUAAGCUGCUGGCACCAGUGUGGUGGUUUCGGUUUGAAACACUAAUUUUGUGCAGUGGUUUUGCUUUGUUAAAUUGAGAUUUCCUGGCUGAUGUACUAAAGAGUGUGGUGGGUUUGGUGUUGGUUAAUUAUUAGGGUAGUUCACUAAUAAUGGUUUCCCACUUAAGAAGUACUUUUUAUGCACAGCUACAGCAGCACCUGUGGCAUCACCGAGGUACUGGACCUAAAGCAGCCUUUGUGGAAGCACCUUUUGUGCAUUUCAAUCUAUUAUUAACUAAUAAAUGACAAGCUCAGUCUUAGAUGUGAAUAAAUCUGUAAAGUGAAGUCAUUAAAGCUAGCAAGAAGUGUUCCAAAAUGCAUAGUUUUGGGAAUGUUUUAGAUACAGAUGUCAGCUACUGCAGUAAAUCAACUGCAGUAUAGAGCUGUGCAUUUCUGUAGGUAGCACACUUCUGUGCUCCAGAAACAAAUGUAUUACUGCUGGAAGUUAUUAAUGUUUUCUGUCUGUAUUUUUUUUCAUAACCCUGAUUAUUUAUGGAAAAACGGUGUUUGGCUGCAGGGUUUUUUUGGGACACAGCUUGUGAAAAUACAACUACUUCUUGUAAAAUGAAACUUUAUUCUAAAAUGUAUCCAAAAUUGCAAGACACAAGCACCAUUAAACAGAUAAAUAGACAUAUAUUUAUAUACAGAGAGCAUCAAAACACAAAACAAUUGUUAAUAUAAUUCUUAUACCAUUUUAAUGAGUAUCCAUCAAUAAAACUUUACAAUUUAAAGGAGACUUUUCAGUUGCAAAACAGUUGUAAAAUCAUAUGUAUAAAUUAUGUUUACUACAAUUCCAAUAACAGAGGCAAAGUAAAAUACAAAAAUAAUAAUCAAUACUGCAAAUUCAAAUACAAACCCCAAAAGUAAUGCUGCACAGGUACGUAUGUACACUGGAUGAAUUCAUGCAGCCAGGCAGUGCAACAAAUUAACUGCUGAGUUUAACUUAUCACAAAAUGGAACCACCAUGUCGAAAAACAGAAGAAAAUAUACUUUUGUAAUAAAUCAUAGUGCAUUUUGAAGUUAGACUUUAUAAAAUGAUUGUUGAGUGAUAUACUUCUAAUAUUCCCCAUGUGAUCUGAGAUCCCCCCAACUCCUUUUUUCACAAAAUAAAAUACAAAUGACAAAAGCUAAAAACCCCACUGUAGAACAGAGUCUGAUGUACUGGUACCAUCUUGAAAGCAUUUGUUUUAAUUCUCGGUAUCAGACUUGUUUGCAAGUGUCCAUGUCCACAGGGACAGGAGUUUUUCCUUGCUACCAGAAGUAAAUCUUUCACGCUCCAAUGCUAUCUCCACAAACUGCAUCUCACACGAUGCUUAGGCUGCACUGGCUUGAAGAGACACAGCUGAGCCUUGAAAAAAGAACCCUUAAAUCCCUAUGAAGCACAGAGAGAGUAAAUGGAGGAUAGAGAGACCUCAUUAUUCCUGAAGCUCCUAUCCCUAAUUGCUUUAAUUACAUAAACAGAGAUUAACAUAAGAGGCUUUUAUGGCUUGGGUGAAAUUUCUGCUAAUUUGCUGGGCAAGUGCAAAGCCCCUGUCUCUCCACAGGGCUUUGCCUUUCACAGUGCAGAGGGCUACAGACUCUUUUGGUUGGUGAAAGGAAGCCUCAGGUAACUAUAUAGAAAAAUACCUCUGCAGUGAAAAUGUGGUAAAGAAGCAAAAAUUCAAAACAGAACCUCUGGAAAACUGUGACUUCUUGUGUAACAAAAACAUGGCUGUCACCUUUCAGGUCUGUGUUGGUUGGUAUAGCAUGAACAUGUAGAUAAAACUGGUUAAGUGUCAAAAUUAUAUGAGAUACAAUUACACAGUCUGACACUUUUUUCCUUAAAAUCUUAAGUGAUAAGCACGCUCAGUGUUUUCUCUAGGAAAUUACUGCUAAAAUGCUACAUUUCGUUGCUGAAAAGACAUUUAUAGCAGCCUGUAAACUACUGAGGAGUUGCUUCCUGCAUCCUUUGUGCUUCCAAAACCCCCCUUUGAGCCAUCACUAACUUCUGAGUUAACGGGAGUUUUGAGCAAAAAAGGGAUGCGGAAGACCACCUGUAUUGGGUAAAUAAUGUAGCAAUUUAUACAGCAGCUCUUCAGAUCUUCCAACAUGCAAGCACGUGUAGAGAGAAGCUAAGAGACAGCAUGCACUGCAGUGUCAUGUCAUUGUGCUUAUGUCUGCUGAGGGCACUAUGGCAUUUUCACUCAGAGAAACAGAAAUGUUAGCCCCAGAAGACUAAAAGAGCCAAUAUUGAUGAAGCCAUCAGCUACUGCUGCAGUAAAGAACACCCCAAAAGAGGGAGGAAGUUUGUCUGCUCGUAGCGUUUACAUACUGAAGCUGAAGAGAAUUACAAAGGCACAAUACAAGCCUAUAUUUCUGGUAAAUUAUAUAUAUUCAUAAAUUUCUGCUCAUACCACCUCAAGAUAGUGAAUGGUACAAUAACAACUGAAGGUACAAAUGUUAAUUUGAAGUGAAGCUCUACAAAUAAAGGACUGUUGGAGAACAUAGCUCAUUGCUUGCUACAUUUCUACUCUUUCCCAGGUGGUGAGCUCAUCCACCUUUCCUCCACUGGCUGACAACAACACGGUGACCCAGUGAGAAAACUGGAACACCCUCAGAUGACAGACAGAAUGGCUUUAUGCAUCUGAAAAGGUGUCAGUGAGUGCCACAACAACCUUUGCCACUGCUUUACCUUUGGCUCAGAAUUCACAGAGAAACCAGGAACAGCAACUGGAAUUUCAUACCCAUUUUCAUGCAGAGCUGAGGCUGAGAUAAUCCAUGAAAGUAGCAUUUUGGUUACCUUCAGCACUCAAAAAUAUUGAACAGCAGAGCAGGAAUUGUACCACCUCAUCUUAAGAAACAAAUCUCAAUUUCUCUACUCACAGCUACACAAGAUCUGUAUCAUUUCCAACAGCAAAUGACUCACAACUUAGGAAAUUAAGAGAAUGGAUCAAUACUGCUGCUGUUAAACUGAAAAACUGACACCCACUUUUGUGUGAUGAAAUUACAGGGCAGCUGUGGAGGCGCCUGCUGUCCCAGCCCAGCUCUGAGAAUGUGGAAGCUCGAUGAAGGUGAAAGGUGCAGCUACAGCAUUUGAGUUUGGACCUGGAGCUGUUCCUCAGCUCGCCACAACAACUAGCACGACUGCUGCCAGGAUUUCGUACCGCAGGUAACGGGGAAGGUGUCCAGGGGAAUGAGGAGGAACCUGCUGGAAGCAGGCUCUGCUAACCCACAGUAACGCUGCCUGCAGAUCUGCUCUUUCUGACAUGGGGUAUUCCCUUAUCUCCAAACCAAAACACCGAAUCCCAACACGUUUUAUUGCGUGUUUCCCCAAAAAAACCUAUCAUAAACUGCCAUUACUACACAUGUUCUCACAAUCCUCAACCAUAACCUCCUAGAUCUAUUCCUUGAACCUGUCAGGAAAGGAAUCUUUAGCCACAACUGGAAAGUAUGAGCAUUAAUACCUUAGUUACAAGCUCACAGCUGAAUUUAAAAGCUGCAUAUGCUAUUGCUGGUGUUGAUUGAUCUAUACAAUGGUUUUUCCCUGUGUUGCUUCUAAAGAAGAUCAGUGCAGGUAACAAGGAAGCCCACUCUAACAAGGAAGCCCACUCUAAGAAAUGAAGGUGCGGUUUCCUAGGCAGGGAUCAUCACUCUAGAAUUGUUCCAACAAUUUGCAAGUUCACGCUACAGCUGUUGAUUACAAUCAAAGUAAAAAUACAGAAAACAGCACUACAGGGCAGAAAUAUCAUGCUUGAGAUUGAAUUCAGAAAAGUCAUCUGUAAGACACUUGGAUUCAGGUUCAAAGGAGCUGCAUUAUUCUUGCCCAUUCCAAGCUCAAACAAAUACACGUUUGUGUAGAGGUGUGAGAAGCCAAUUGUACACACUUGGAUUCAUCCCACCUAAUUCCAGCUGUUCAUCAGUGGUGAGGGCAAAUGAUGCCAUAAUGCAAUCUCUCCACUUGUGUCCCUCCUCUGACUUACACACAAGACCCAGCAGGUAAUUUUUAGCCAGCUGAAAUUAGGGCAGGAUGAAUCAGGCCACAGCAUGGAGCGGAAACAAGUCUGAUGUGGUGGCACAGUAUCACCAUGACAAUCCAGUCUGUCACAGCCCUGUCUGAGGCUCCCAGCCAGACACGCUCUGGGUCAGUGACCCACACCACCUGCGCCUCUGCAGCUCUGGCAAGGAGCUCAUCACACGUCACACAGUGAGGCUUGAGUUCAUGACAAUCCCCCAGAGCAGCACCCGGAGCCGCCUGGGAUGGGCCAGCCAGGCAGCUCGGGUGCACGGGACUGCAGCCCUCCCAGACACCCCAGAGGCUGCCCUGGAGCUGCACACAGGGUCUGGAGGGGCUUGCAGCCGGAGUUGUUACUCAUCCUAACACAACACGCACUCAUGCUCACGUAUGUGUGGUGCUGUGGGAGCUGUGCAUCCCCACGCUUUGGCCACGGCAUGGGCUGGCUCUUGGCAGGAGCUGUCGGAAAUGAGGAUGAAGCACACACUGAGGAGAAAUACAGCGUUCUGAAACACACAUUUGUGAGAUCCCCAAUAGUAUCAAUAGUAACGAUUAAGGUCAGAGGCAGUAUCAAGUUUUGCAUGCACUUUCUACAUUAGUAUUUAUAUAGACAAGUUUCAUUCUUGCUGGUUUGCAAAAUUACUGAGGUUUCCUUUACUUCCAGAGACUGGAAUAUUGAACAAUAGUUUCAUUUAUGAUGUUGAAAGUCAUUCUUUGUCUAAAAUACACCUACAAAUACUUGGGAUUAUGGGACAGGGAUUGCCCUGUUGUUCUCUGUGAAGGGCUAAAGUAACUGUAGAAAUAUUUUUUGAUCUUAGAAAUAGAGGGAAUUUAUCUACAAAUCGGACUGUAAGCAUGAGGAACACUUAUUGCAAGUUCUCAAAGUCUUACAUGAAAGGGUGAAGGUGCAAAGUCAUUAAGACUGCCUUGAUUCUAAAGAUUAGCCUACUCAUUUAAUUAAACUAUCAAUAGAAACACAGAAGUUAAAGUAAUCCAAGUAAGAAUCCCCUUCAACUUUCCAAGCUUCUUCGCUUCUCCCAUCAUUGCCUUUCAGACUAGACAGGACUUGAAAUUCUGAUGUCAGAAACCAGCAAAGAACACACAGACAUUUUCAGGUCUUUGUUGUAUAUCAUAAAAUACUGUAAAAAAAGAAUGCAGAGUCCCAGAAUUCAGGUUAUUUUCCUCUCUUGGUAACCAGACAGAGAGUUCAAAUCUCCUUUAAACACCACCUCAGGUACAGCCUGCAGUGGGUGGGGAUGAGGACACAAUGCAGGCAGUGCUGUGCCUCUCGAAUGGCCCUAGAGAUGGGCUUCUGUCUUGGCACUGCUGCAGCUUGUGGGGAAUAAAAAACACAUCUUUGUGAGGAGCAGCCUGCCCAGGUGCUGUGCCUGGGACACCCCUCUGCAGGGGACACUGCACAGCUGUGACACCUCUCAGGUGUGCAGGCACAGGCACCUGGGACACCACAAAACCUGCAGCUGCCUGCUGCAAUCCAACCCCAAGCUCUCAGAGAAGGAUAUGAACUGGGUUGAAUUCUUGUACAUUACAUUUAAUAGUUCUGUAAAUGGCUUAUAGAUCUGCUGUUUGAAAUAAAUUCUGAAACCACUAAGCGUGCUUAACAGAGCUUCAACUCGAUGUGGACAGCGAGUUCAGAGGACAGAACAAGGACUGGUGCAGUAUAAUAUACACAUGGCUGUACAGUCAAAUGCCACCUCCUGCUUCAAAACAAGAAUUUACAGUAGCAAGCAGUGGUGGCAAGAUUUCUUACACAGAACCUACAGGAAUUUACAGGAUAUGCAUGGAUCACUGAGGUUAUAACACCAGCAACAGACAACACAGAGUAUCUUGUGCAAUGUGAACAAAGUUGACAGUAGUUUACCAAUGCUGUAAGUAAUUCACAUAAAUAUGCUAACCCACCAGCUAACAAAACUUCCUCCUCUUUCCACCAGAACCAGAUGCGUGUGCAGCAAUCCAUAAAAACAAAAGUGGUUUGUUGUUGUGGUUUUAGCCAAACAUGCACAAAGUAGAUGCACUCCAAGGGGAUACUUGCAAAAAAAAACAAAAACAAAAAAACCCUCAAAACUGGUGUCCAAGCACACACAGCAAUUGGAUUCACACUUCUCAAACAGCCAUGACAGAGCCAAAGUUUAUGGUGUGGAUGCUUGUUGUCCUGGAAAAAUAGUAAUAUAAAAAUUCACUUGAUUUAUAACUGACAGAAAACUCCAGCUUUACUCACACCACUCUUCCAUGUCUCUAAUUCUAGCCCAAAUUCAUUCCAGCCCUACUUUGGGAACUUGUGUUCUCUUCCUUAUCCAUCAAUGUAAAUGCAAAUCAAAUCACAACUACAACAUAACCAGAAAAAAAAAAAAAACAAACAUAAAAA
Long non-coding RNA from Passer domesticus (house sparrow), 9579 nucleotides. RefSeq lists it as uncharacterized. The record is from RefSeq and is a predicted model, not a curated record. The transcript is spliced from 2 exons. Lineage: Eukaryota; Metazoa; Chordata; Aves; Passeriformes; Passeridae.